AACUGUUGAGGGUGGACAUGAAAGUCAUUGGUUCUCAACUCAUCAGACCUCCCACCCCCCAGCCCGUACUUGAAUUACACACCCACACCCUGUAUCAUAUGACUCUGUAUUAUCCCCCACUGCUGUGCCUGGAGGACGUGUCCUCACUGCAAUAAUUUUGGGUUUUCCCACGUAAUUGGCUUUGGCCAACAGAAUACAGGUGGAAGGAACUGUGUGCCAGUUCACUCACCCCUUUCAUGCUUGUGCCAUUUGACCCAAGAAGAACACACCUUGCAGAGCUGCUGAACCCAGGAGAAAGAGACAAAUCCCCGGGAGCAAAGCCGAAUGGAAGGGCCACCCUGGGGCCAGGCUGACCUGCAGCCUGAGGUACUAAACGCAAUGAUUUUCUGGAAUCUCAGGGAGGCUUUGCCAACACAACAUCCUCUGGCAGAAGUGUCAGCCCCUCAUCUUCCGUUGAAAAGGGUCUAAGUGUCAAUGGGUCUGCUCAUCUAGGGUAAGUAAGGGUCCAGUGAAGAGCUAUAAACAUCGGGGAGCGAACAGUCUGAAAGACAGCAUGACAUGCUUGAGUGUGGCUUUUGGAACCAGAGUGGGUUCAAAUCUUACUGUCACUUGGUAUUGGUGUGGCCUUAGACAAAUUACUUCAUCUCCCUGAGUCUCAGCUUUUUUUUUUUUUUUGUGCAAAAUGGGGAUAAUACAUCAUGGGAUUAUUGGGAAGAUUCAUUGAGUUAAUUUAUGUAAAGUGAUUAGAAGAGUCCCUGGCAUACAAUAAAGACUGUACAAGGACUUGCUGUUACGAAGUU
Molecule: long non-coding RNA, 800 nt
Filed under: Sus scrofa (pig)
Lineage: Eukaryota; Metazoa; Chordata; Mammalia; Artiodactyla; Suidae
Description: lncRNA (ENSSSCG00070021774.1)
Source: RNAcentral